This 911-nucleotide ribosomal RNA is filed under the name uncultured archaeon. RNAcentral's name for it is "bacterial SSU rRNA". It matches the Rfam family "Archaeal small subunit ribosomal RNA", at positions 1 to 922 of the family's 1478-position model. The record is from RNAcentral.
UUCCGGUUGAUCCUGCCGGACCCGACUGCUAUCAGAGUGGGACUAAGCCAUGCGAGUCAACCCGCAAGGGUGGCGGACGGCUCAGUAACACGUAGUGAACCUAACCUGGGGACGUGGACAACCAUGGGAAACUGUGGCUAAACCGCGAUAGGUCAUUGUUUCUGGAAUGGGCAAUGGCUCAAACCUACAUGGCCCCAGGAUGGGACUGCGGCCUAUCAGCUUGUUGGUGAGGUAAUGGCCCACCAAGGCUAUUACAGGUACGGGCUCUGAGAGGAGGAGCCCGGAGAUGGGCACUGAGACAAGGGCCCAGGCCCUAUGGGGCGCAGCAGGCGCGAAACCUCUGCAAUAAGCGAAAGCUUGACAGGGUUAUUCUGAGUGAUUUCCGCUAAGGAAGUCUUUUGGCACCUCUAAAAAUGGUGCAGAAUAAGGGGUGGGCAAGUUCUGGUGUCAGCCGCCGCGGUAAAACCAGCACCUCAAGUGGUCAGGAGGAUUAUUGGGCCUAAAGCAUCCGUAGCCGGCUCUGCAAGUUUUCGGUUAAAUCCACUUGCUCAACAAAUGGGCUGCCGAAAAUACUACAUAGCUAGGGAGUGGGAGAGGUAGACGGUAUUCGGUAGGAAGGGGUAAAAUCCUUUGAUCUAUUGAGGACCACCUAUGGCGAAGGCAGUCUACCAGAACACGUUCGACGGUGAGGGAUGAAAGCUGGGGGAGCAAACCGGAUUAGAUACCCGGGUAGUCCCAGCUGUAAACGAUGCAGACUCGGUGAUGCACUGGCUUGUGGCCAGUGCAGUGCCGCAGGGAAGCCGUUAAGUUUGCCGCCUGGGAAGUACGUACGCAAGUAUGAAACUUAAAGGAAUUGGCGGGGGAGCACCACAAGGGGUGAAGCCUGCGGUUCAAUUGGAUUCAACGCCGGA